AUGGCCCUCCCAAGAGAGAAGCAGGCGUCGGCGCUGUGCAGGCCGUCCAUGGCGAUGGAGACGCCCGGGCAGGAAGGGCUCGAUCCGGAUGAACCAGCCCACACCGAGCCCGGCCGCCUCAACAGGAGCUCGUCUCUCUGCCUGCCAGUGGCUCACCGAAGCCGCCACUGCCGGCGACCGCCUCCCUCACCUUGUGCCCCUUCUCCUUCGCCUUUCUUCCUCUCUUCCCCGAGGAGCGGGGAGCCGGCGAAUCCGUCAGUCAGGAGCUGGGCGGCGCCCUCCAUCAUCGCCGCCGUUUGGGGAGGGACGCGGUCCUGGUCGAUGCGGUGUGGGGCGGGCGAUGCUGUUGGGGAACGUAGCAGAAAUUCAAAAAAUUUCCUACGAAUCACCAAGAUCUAUCUAUGGAGAGACCAGCAACGAGUAGAAAGAGAGGAGAGUUUGCAUCUACAUACCCUUGUAGAUCGCUAA
This 468-nucleotide ribosomal RNA is filed under the name Triticum aestivum (bread wheat). RNAcentral's name for it is "partial small subunit ribosomal RNA". Lineage: Eukaryota; Viridiplantae; Streptophyta; Magnoliopsida; Poales; Poaceae. The record is from RNAcentral.